AAAGGCUCAAGAUCAUUAUAUUCCCUCCAAUUCCUGAUCCUGGCAAAAUUUUUAAAGAAAUGUUUGGAGACCAGAAUGAUGAUACCCUGCACUGGAAGAAGUACGACAUCUAUGAGAAGCAAACCAAAGAAGAAACUGACUCUGUAGUGCUGAUAGAAAGCCUGAAGAGAGCCGCUCAGUGAUGGGGAUAAUUUAUUUUAACCUUCAAUGUGACCUUGUGAAGAUUCAUUUCGUUCUCCAUUUGGUAUCCGGAAACUUGUUAAAUGGCAACUGCAGCUACUGGACCAUUUAAAAACAGGCAGCUCGUAAGAGCCACAGGUCUUUAUGUUGAGUCGUGCCCCGAAAAACCAAAGAUAAUGGGCCCUUUGGAGAAAAGAGUGGAGUCCUUCUCGUUGAAUUAUAAAAGCAGACAUCUUUUGCAAAGGCUUCAAACUAGGGGACAAAAGCAAAAAGCGAUGAUGGCAGCCAAGUUAGUCUUAUCAAGAGGUGUGACAGCUUCCUGAGGGAUCUCUGCCUGCUUUGUAUUCUUUGUCUCAAAUAAUACCAACAAGUUUUAUUUAUAGGAGAACUCAUGUUGGGUACAAAUGCUAAAGUCAAAGUUGAGUCACGGACAACAUCUAGCAAACAAAAUUGAUAAAAUCUGUUAUCCAUUGCUUGGGAGCCCAUUGAGUAAUGGCUCUGGCUAUUAAAACUCUUAAUCGUCCAGAAUCACCAUCCCCUUCAGCAGCAUUUUCCUCCGCUUUGAAAGGCCCAGGCAUCUGUGUUGGCCGUGGUGAUGAUGACAGAAAAAGCAGAGGCAGCUUCUUUACCAAGACCUUUCAAAGCCAUCGCAGGCUUUUAAUGGCAGUACAGGCGGAACGACUUACUGGCUCUUAGAGUUUGAACCACAGUCCCUAAUGAUGUAUUAUUUUCUUUGCUUCACCUCUGCUACCCAAAUCAAGCAUUUACUCCUCGCCCAGAUCAUACUAGGCCCACAGGUGUGAGGCACAGACUCCCUCAAAGAAUUGACAGUCUGGUUGGGGCUCCUCAGGUCUUUCUCCCCACCAGUCAUUUCCCGGACCUUUCAGCUCCCCAGUCCCAGCCCUUCUGCAUCUCCCCCGUUCCCUUCUCCAUAGUCUUUCACCCUCAGUAGCAAUUAGAUCAUAAAUCUGCUCAGAACACCUAGUGGAGCAGGGAGUAAAUUGCAUCUCAGGUAAAGUGUGAGUCGACUGAGAAACCAUGACUAAGUCUCGAAUAUUUUGUCACUUCUGUGUGAGUCUGCGUUUCUUUGAGGGUUUGCAGCAUUUAGUAUUUCUCUACGCAUUUUCUAACAGAAAGAAGGUAUUAUCUUCACCUAGAACUCUACUGUUUGCUUGAGAAAAAAAAAAUAAUAGUUGUCUUUCUCUUUUCCCUUAUUCCCACAAAUGGUUGUUAGUAGGUUUCAUUUCUUGUAUUCAUAGCCAGCCCGCCAAAGCUCCAAUGUUUGUUCGUUUGUUUGUUUGCAUAUGUUAGGGCUCCAUUCUCACUCAUCCCCGCAACAUAUCCAUAUAUAUGUAUAUAUAUAUAUAUAUUCCCUCCACUCCUCCUACUUCCCCCAAAUUUCCAGUUUGGAAAUGAGAAGUCCCCCUCCCGUGUUUCUGUCCUCACACAGGUAGACUCAGAUUACUGGUAGGAACUUGAGAACUUUAGAGCACAAGUUCUCUAAACAGUCAUCCGUUUGUUCUCAUAAGGCUACUUCCAGUUCCUGCUCUUAGGGGAAGGGAGAGCAGAGAUCCCUGCUCUUUACAGGUUGGGGCAAAAAGUGGCAACGUGCUGGCACCACAGUGGAGGAGCACUAUGCCCCCGGGAAUUUUUGAGGAAGUUGGAGUUCAUGGCAGUGGGAGAUGUCAAGGGGUUUCUUCCCUGUGCUUUUGAGGUCAGGUUGAGGCCGGGAGACAGGCAUGGUGUUCUGUUUUGUCUUACUCUUCUCUAAAAAGAAUAUUUGAUUUUCCCGUGUAAGGAUGAGAUUACUUCCUAGCCAGGUCUUAUAAUUCUGAGAAACAAAACACCUAAGUGCCUCGACCAAAGCCAUUUUUCCUGUCAUCCGAUUUAGAUGGCAUUGGGGAGGAUACUUUGAUAUUCUGAUCACCCAAGGAACAACGGCAGUCCUGCAGCCUGGGAGAGGGGAAAUUGUGUGUUUUGUUUCCAUCUUGCUCUUGUAGCAGUAAACUAGUUGAGGGAAAGGGGGGGCAGUGAAUUAUGGGAGUACCUAUGGUGUUUUAUAAUGGCUGCAAAGUGAUCCCCAGGUCCUGAGAGCUUUAAUACAUCAGUGGAAUUCCCAUGACCUAUAGGAAACGAGUAGAUUCAUGUACUCUUUUAUGUCUAACCUGUAUGGAUUUUUUUUCUCCACAUAUCUAAGUAAACUCAUUAUAAGAAUGGUCAUUCUUAUUCUUUCAUUCAAAUAAGUUUUUUCUUCAUCUGGGCACUGAAGGGAUACGUGAAACAAAGUUAACAUUUUUGGUAAUGCCUUCCGCUGGGGAUCAUUUUGUUUAGCUUCUUAUAGGAAAGCUUGAGUAAAAUAAAUAUUGUCUUUUUGUAUGUC
RNAcentral lists this long non-coding RNA (2560 nucleotides) under Sus scrofa (pig). Its description in RNAcentral is "lncRNA (ENSSSCG00050029098.1)". The record is from RNAcentral. Lineage: Eukaryota; Metazoa; Chordata; Mammalia; Artiodactyla; Suidae.